RNAcentral lists this ribosomal RNA (488 nucleotides) under uncultured bacterium. Its description in RNAcentral is "bacterial SSU rRNA". It matches the Rfam family "Bacterial small subunit ribosomal RNA", at positions 28 to 511 of the family's 1533-position model. The record is from RNAcentral.
GAUGAACGCUAGCGGCAGGCUUAAUACAUGCAAGUCGUGGGGCAGCAUGAGUAGCAACACUUGAUGGCGACCGGCAAACGGGUGAGGAACACGUACACAACCUUCCUUCAAGCGGGGAAUAGCCCAGAGAAAUUUGGAUUAAUACCCCAUAAUAUAUUUGAUAAGGCAUCUUAUUAAUAUUAAAGCUUCGGCACUUGAUGAUGGGUGUGCGGCUGAUUAGAUAGUUGGCGGGGUAACGGCCCACCAAGUCUACGAUCAGUAGCUGAUGUGAGAGCAUGAUCAGCCACACGGGCACUGAGACACGGGCCCGACUCCUACGGGAGGCAGCAGUAAGGAAUAUUGGACAAUGGACGAAAGUCUGAUCCAGCCAUGCCGCGUGAAGGAUUAAGGUCCUCUGGAUUGUAAACUUCUUUUAUAUGGGACGAAAAAGGGCAUUCUUGUUCACUUGACGGUACCAUAUGAAUAAGCACCGGCUAACUCCGUGCCAG